GGAUUAACAACAUACUAGGGUCAAGCACAACUCUAAACCUCAAUGGAUAUCAUUACAUUACAUUACUGAAUUAUACUUUACAUUUCAUCAUUUUCAUGUCCACUUCUAACUAUUACAUAGACAAGACUUUACUCUAGCUGACCUCCUGGUCUAUCCCGUACCUGCAAACCUGGAGAAAUUAGGGAGCGGGGUGAGCUACUAGAGCCCAGUGAGCAGAAUAAUAAAACAUUGUAUUUAAAACAUGUGAUAUCAUGGAAUGCAUCACCGCACAAACAAUUCACAUCACGGAUGAACUUGUCACCAUUUAGCCCUCUAUACAGUCUAAUCAUGCCAGGGGCAUAGAGCAGGCACGCCUGGACUUCCAUAUCAUAACAUACAUAUCCAAUAGUGCCGGGAGCGUAGUGCAGGCACGCCCGGACUUUCCCUUACAUAGUGCCAGGGGCGUAGAGCAGGCACGCCUGGACUUCCAUAUCCUAUCAUCAUGUCAUAACAUAUGAGGGCUAAUGGAUCAUUCAACAUUCAUUCACAUCAACAACAUAAUAUGCAAUGCACAUAUUCGUGAAUUCUAAUGCAAGCACCCUAAUAUAUCUCAUGGCAUUCAUGAUGCAUAAAUCAUGCUAAAACUUUUCUUGUUUGCUUGAAACAUAAAGAGUUAUUCCACUCACCUCUGGCUAGCUCUGACAAGACACUGAAGCAGCUGACUCACUGCUGGGAUCCUCGGUUCCUCGGGUCCGAACCUACACAGGUGGACUCAAAUGAGGGACCAAACAUACAUAAACAUGACUCUAAAAUACUCCUCAAAAACCCCCUAAAACAUCUUAAAACAAUCAUAGAAAUCAUGCAAAGGAGGGCUGAACAGGGCACUUUCGGCGGCAGGUUCGGCGGCCGAAAGUCCCUCCAGAGCCGAAAGUCAUGCACCUUCGACGGCACUUUCAGCGGCCGAAGGUUCCCUCCAGAGACGAAACUCAUGCAUGUUCGACGGCACCUUCGGCGGCCGAAACUCCCCUCCAGAGCCGAAAGUCACUUUCGGGGGCAGGGUUCAGCAGCCGAAAUCUGGCCUCCACAGGCAGGUUCGGCGGCCGAAAGAGCCUUCGGCUGCCGAACCUGGGUCCUCCCAAAGUGGCAGAACCCAGCCUUUCUCAUGCAUAAAUGCCUCCCAACUCAUUAAAUCAUGCAUUUUCCUAUUCUACAACAUGCAUACUCAAGCAUAUAAGCUCCUAAGGGCUUCAAACUAUCUUAAACCCCAACUACAACACAUCAAACAUGCAUUUUCAACAUACAUUGUUCAUAAACACACAUUUAACCAAAAACUCAUCAUAAACCUACACAUGCUUUUCUACCCCAAGAAACUUCAUAAAACUUGCUUAAAACAUGAAAUGAACUAUGGAUCUACUCUUACCUUUUGAAGAACGAGAGGAGAGACGAUCCUAACUCGGAGAUGGGGAGAAAUCAACUCUUUGGUCUCCAAGCUUCAAAACUUGCUCUUUUUGUUCAAAUAUCUU
RNAcentral lists this long non-coding RNA (1502 nucleotides) under Manihot esculenta (cassava). RNAcentral's name for it is "long non-coding RNA (MESC_LNC007652)". The record is from RNAcentral. Lineage: Eukaryota; Viridiplantae; Streptophyta; Magnoliopsida; Malpighiales; Euphorbiaceae.